GAAAAUUGGUGGAUUUCAAGGAAUUAAGCAAGUAAAGGUGGUGAGUCCUCUAACAAGGGUAAAGACAUUGUGCCAGAAGACCAAGAAUAAGAGUAUUUUGAACUCUCGAUACAGCUCAAGAUAGUCAGUAGAUAGUUGAUUUCAUCGAGAGCUACAGUUGGAUUUGCAUCCUCAAAAAUCGUAGGUUUACAGCCUUCGUUACUUUCGGUCAUUCGGGGGUCCACACGUCAUUGUAAAUUAAACUACAUACUCUGGUUAUCUGUGUU
This is a non-coding RNA of Theobroma cacao (cacao), 266 nucleotides long. NCBI's taxonomy places the organism in Eukaryota, Viridiplantae, Streptophyta, Magnoliopsida, Malvales, Malvaceae. The record is from RefSeq and is a predicted model, not a curated record.